CGGGAAGCCAGGCGUGCUGGGGCUCAUUCAUUUCGGACGCGGUUUGCAGGGCGGGCGGCCAGGAGCGCCGCGCUCCUGCUGCCCGGCCAGGCGGCCCGGGUGUGCCCAGAAGGUCGCGCCCGCCGGGGUCUACGGCGGGGCCUCCUCUGGCCGCCGCCCGCGUCCUGGAGCCGCCUCAGCCCCCGCGGGGACCCUCGCCUCCCUCCGGCGCGCCAGGCCCGGACGCGCGGCGGCACCAGGACCCGGACCGGGACCGAGACCGGGACCGGGACGGGACGAGACGGAAGCACGGCGCGGCGGCAGGGCGCACUCACCGUUCUGCUCCUUGGCGCCGGGGAAGCUGGGAACUUUUCCCCCCAGGCUGAGACUUGGGCUCCGCCCCGAGUGCCGUGUUUUUUUUUCGAACCAGCGCGGACGUCAGCAGCAGGAGGCCGAGGAGGAGCAUUGGGCCGCCAGGCGCGGGCGCGGGCGCGGGGCGCGGGCUCUCACGGCCGCCCGGGGAGCGCGGCGCGCGCGGGGGAGCGCAGGGCCUUCUCUGGCCGCCGAGCCGCGCGGGGUGGCUGCCACAUAAUCCCAUCCACAGCCUUCCUCCCCAGCUUCUUCUGCGGCUCCAGCUUUUUUUCUUCUUUCUUUCUUUCUUUCUUUUUUUUUUUUUUUUUUUUUUUUUUUUUUUUUUUUUUUUAAAGAAUCAAAGCAAAACCUGGACCUGAACCAGUUUCCCAAGGUUUAAACAAAUCCCGAGCCGCGCCAAGCGUGGCGCCGGGGCCGGGGCCCGGGCGCGGGGCUGCGGGGCGCGCACCUGUUGGCGCGGAGACCUGGACCGGGCCGGGUCGGGCCGAACCUGGUGGCGGGCGAGCAGUUUGGCAGCAGAGACAAAGCUGCCCGCGAGCGGCAGUGCGGGCCCCUCUCCCCGCCCCACACCCCACCCACCCACCGGGGGAGGGGACAGCGGCGGGCGGCUCGGCAAGUCCCGGGUUGGGGUCUUGGGUCGGGGUGCAAGCUGUCGGGGUCCCUGGGUCGGGGGUUGGGGUACCGGGGAUCUGGGGUGCGCAGAGGGUCGCACCCGGCCGAUGGCUGAGCGACCCUAGCUCCCUGGCGCAGCGGCCCCAGAUCUGCAGCCCCGGCGGCCCCGGCUCCUCGCGUCUCCUCCUCCACGCCGGCUCCUGGCGGCUCCGCGGCCCACACGAGGGCCCGGGACACUGGCCCCGCCCCGCCCCUCCUCACCAGACUCCGCGCCCGCUGGCUCAGCCCGACAGGUGCCGCACUGAGGACUGCGCUGUGGCUGCGGGCUUGCAACCACAGACAGACUUGGGCUGGGGGCCGCAGGAAUGCAGCCUGACGACCCCUGGGUUCCUUUCCUGGGGCGCCCUGAUCCUAAAUAGAGGGCAGGGGGCAGGAGAAGGAGCUUCAAAAGCAGAAGAUGUAGGAAAGUACUGUGGUCCUGCCCCCCUUUCUCCUUUCCCCCUCUCCCCUCCUCUUCCCCUCUUCUUCCCUCCCUCCUCCUCCACCUUCCAAGCCCUUCCCUCCUCUCCUCCUCCUCCCCUUCCCUGUCCCAUCUCUAUCCCUCUCCCCCCCAACCCCCCAACCCUUCACCCCCGCGCUCUUCUAGCUGAAGAUGGGAUAGGUUAAUUUCUAGGAACCCCU
Molecule: long non-coding RNA, 1644 nt
Organism: Cavia porcellus (domestic guinea pig)
Lineage: Eukaryota; Metazoa; Chordata; Mammalia; Rodentia; Caviidae
Source: Ensembl